Molecule: long non-coding RNA, 1260 nt
Organism: Gallus gallus (chicken)
Lineage: Eukaryota; Metazoa; Chordata; Aves; Galliformes; Phasianidae
Source: Ensembl
ACAGCCUGAGUAAUUAAGCACUUUGGAUGUUGAAAGCAAUUUGGACAUCUCCUAAACCCAGAGCUGAAUUUUGCUGUUUUCUGCAAGGAAUAAGGGCGUCAGAAAUCCAGAGCAAGCUGAGGACAUGCAUGGUGGGUGAAGGCAGGAUUUCACUCCCGGGUGCUGGGAGGACCUUUCCCCUGGAGCUGACUGUGAGAAGGGAUGUCACCAUGAUCGGUUCUGUGGAAUUUAAUCUCCCAGAUGGAAAGCAAAUCAAUCUGCCCAUCGCUGCAGCUGAGGUAUACUUUGGCUCAACUUUAAUUUAUUCUCUGAAGCUGAAGGAGGCUGGUCAUUUCAAGUUAUGAAAUCUUGUACGUGGAAGCAUUUGGUCACGACGAAUCUCUGAAGAACAGAUGUUCUGAUGCUGUCCCAUCAGGUGCAUCCACUGCUUUGCUGUGUGUUGUCCUCCUACUGUGUGACAGCUUAAGAUGGAGCCUGUGCAGUGCCCUCAGUCUGUAGCAGAGAUGUCAUUUAAUGGAUGAUCAGAACGUUAAUGAAUCUGCUCUGUGGAAAGAAUGGUUUUUGAAUCUAUGCCACAAUCUGCUGGGGCUGCACCACGUGGCUGCAUUCAGGCUUCUUCUGGGAUCUUCAGCUUCUGCUUUCCUGACACGGCCUGCUGGAUUGCAGGACCUGAGACCAGUGUUCUCCAGGCUAUGGGGAAGGUGGGAUUCACAGUAGUCAGUCGAAACACUGAGUGUUUAGGAGCUUUUGUAUGAGUGCCAGGAAGGAGAAGGAUGCUCUGGAAUUUGUGCAAAAGGAGAAUACAGUGAUGCUCACUGUGGUGUUCCAGAGCUGGGUUAUAAUGAGAAUGGAGACUUUCUUCAAGGUCUCAGGCUGGGGUUCUGCCUGCUGUGAGGAGCAAGGCAUUCCCCUGCUCAAGGCCAGGUGAGAAGCAUUGAUAACUGUCUCUGUUUACUCUGGAAUGUGAUGCUGAGAGCUCAGAUCCUCACCAGGUGGGAGAUGCUCAUGGGUCCUUUUGCAAAUUAAGGGCUGAAUUCAUCCAAAGCAAACUUUGCACAUCACAAGCAAUGAUGUGAACUAUUCACAGAGCCAGUGGCUGAAGAAGUGGAUGGGAUCUGCAGCCAGAAGAAACAAAUGUGUCAUUUGAAUUAUGGCACAGUUUGCUUUGAGAUUUUCUCAGUUCAAAGUUGACAUCUCUUCAUCUUAUGUAACAGCGUAAAAGAUCUGUUAAACACCACUGCAGGCUGUGUUUUUAACUGC